GGGUCAGUAGGUUGGUCGUGCCACCGGUACGUACUGGUCUCACUGAUUCCUCCUUCCUGAAGAACCGUAAUGCCAUUAAUUCGGUGUUGCGGGGAACAGGACUGUUACUUUGAAAAAAAUUAGAGUGUUUAAAGCAAGCUAACGCUUGAAUACAUUAGCAUGGAAUAAUGAAAUAGGGCGAUCGAUCCUAUUUUGUUGGUUUCUAGGAUUGACGUA
This 216-nucleotide ribosomal RNA is filed under the name Glomeromycotina sp. RNAcentral describes it as "partial small subunit ribosomal RNA". The stretch from base 84 to 216 matches the Rfam family "Eukaryotic small subunit ribosomal RNA", at positions 731 to 864 of the family's 1831-position model. Lineage: Eukaryota; Fungi; Glomeromycota. The record is from RNAcentral.